RNAcentral lists this long non-coding RNA (212 nucleotides) under Linum usitatissimum (flax). RNAcentral's name for it is "long non-coding RNA (LUSI_LNC006966)". Lineage: Eukaryota; Viridiplantae; Streptophyta; Magnoliopsida; Malpighiales; Linaceae. The record is from RNAcentral.
UCAGUCGUCUACCACUGAAAACUGAAUCCAACACUUUCUGAUCUUAUGAUAUACUCUCUGAACCCAACCCAGACGAGACGAUGUGAUGAAUCCGAAAUUGAAACCCCAGAAACAUAUACCUGCAAUCGUGGUUGUGGAAGAAUCAAAGCGAUUAUUGCUGGGGGGAAGAUCAACAGCUUUCAGUUUUUUCACUUAUUUCUGCCUUUUUCAUU